RNAcentral lists this small RNA (1518 nucleotides) under uncultured Arctic sea ice bacterium. RNAcentral describes it as "bacterial SSU rRNA". The stretch from base 1 to 994 matches the Rfam family "Bacterial small subunit ribosomal RNA", at positions 528 to 1533 of the family's 1533-position model. The record is from RNAcentral.
AAGGGACCUAGCGUAGUUCGGAACUACUGGGCUUAAAGAGUUCGUAGGUGGUUGAAAAAGUUAGUGGUGAAAUCCCAGAGCUUAACUCUGGAACCGCCAUUAAAACUUUUCAGCUAGAGUAUGAUAGAGGAAAGCAGAAUUUCUAGUGUAGAGGUGAAAUUCGUAGAUAUUAGAAAGAAUACCAAUUGCGAAGGCAGCUUUCUGGAUCAUUACUGACACUGAGGAACGAAAGCAUGGGUAGCGAAGAGGAUUAGAUACCCUCGUAGUCCAUGCCGUAAACGAUGUGUGUUAGACGUUGGAAAUUUAUUUUCAGUGUCGCAGGGUAACCGAUAAACACACCGCCUGGGGAGUACGACCGCAAGGUUAAAACUCAAAUGAAUUGACGGGGACCCGCACAAGUAGUGGAGCAUGUGGUUUAAUUCGAAGAUACGCGCAGAACCUUACCAACACUUGACAUGUUCGUCGCGACUCUAAGAGAUUAGAGUCUUCGGUUCGGCCGGACGAAACACAGGUGCUGCAUGGCUGUCGUCAGCUCGUGUCGUGAGAUGUUGGGUUAAGUCCCGCAACGAGCGCAACCCUCACUUUUAGUUGCCAUCAUUAAGUUGGGCACUCUAAAAGAACUGCCAGUGAUAAGCUGGAGGAAGGUGGGGAUGACGUCAAGUCCUCAUGGCCCUUACGUGUUGGGCUACACACGUGCUACAAUGGCAUCUACAAGAGGAAGCAAAACGGCAACGUUAAGCAAAUCCCGAAAAGAUGCCUCAGUUCGGAUUGCACUCUGCAACUCGAGUGCAUGAAGCUGGAAUUACUAGUAAUCGUGGAUCAGCGUGCCACGGUGAAUGCGUUCCCGGGUCUUGUACACACCGCCCGUCACACCAUGGGAGUUGGUUCUACCUUAAGGCAAGGUUUUAAACCCUUGACCACGGUAUAGUCAGCGACUGGGGUGAAGUCGUAACAAGGUAGCCGUAGGGGAACCUGCGGCUGGAUUACCUCCUUUCUAAGGAUGAGUGAAAGUAAAAUUUCACUCUAAAUAAUAUACAUCGGUAAUGUUGACCGUCCUCAUUUCUCUUCUUAAAGUAAUGUUUCCUUCUUGUAGGGCCGGUAGCUCAGUUGGUUAGAGCACACCCUUGAUAAGGGUGGGGUCGAAAGUUCGAGUCUUUCUCGGCCCACCAAAAACCUAAAUGGGGGAUUAGCUCAUCUGGGAGAGCGCCUGAUUUGCAUUCAGGAGGUAGCAGGUUCGAUCCCUGUAUCCUCCACCAGGAAACAUUUAGUUAUUAAAACUGUAAAUAAAAAUAAUUUAUAUCAAUAUCUAUAUCCGAACAUUAAAAGUUAUUAUUUAAUGUUCAAAAUAAAAAUUUGAUCACAACAUAGAUAAAUUUUCUUUAAAAAGAAUUUUUUUCUGUGCAUAAAUCAAGCGUUUAAGGGCGUGUAGUGGAUGCCUUGGCACUGAAAGCCGAUGAAGGACGUGAUAUACUGCGAUAAGUUUCGGGGAGCUGUAUGUAAGCUUUGAUCCGAAAAUUU